UACGUAGGGUGCAAGCGUUAAUCGGAAUUACUGGGCGUAAAGCGUGCGCAGGCGGUUUUGUAAGUUUGUCGUGAAAGCCCCGGGCUCAGCCUGGGAAUUGCGAUGAAGACUGCAAGGCUAGAGUGUGUCAGAGGGGGGUAGAAUUCCACGUGUAGCAGUGAAAUGCGUAGAUAUGUGGAGGAACACCGAUGGCGAAGGCAGCCCCCUGGGAUAACACUGACGCUCAUGCACGAAAGCGUGGGGAGCAAACAGG
Molecule: ribosomal RNA, 253 nt
Filed under: uncultured bacterium
Lineage: Bacteria
Description: partial 16S ribosomal RNA
Rfam family: Bacterial small subunit ribosomal RNA
Source: RNAcentral